This 528-nucleotide ribosomal RNA is filed under the name uncultured bacterium. Its description in RNAcentral is "bacterial SSU rRNA". It matches the Rfam family "Bacterial small subunit ribosomal RNA", at positions 242 to 783 of the family's 1533-position model. The record is from RNAcentral.
CAGGUAGUUGGUGAGGUAACGGCUCACCAAGCCUAUGACGGGUAGCUGAUCUGAGAGGAUGAUCAGCCAGAAUGGAACUGAGACACGGUCCAUACUCCUACGGGAGGCAGCAGUGAGGAAUCUUCCGCAAUGGGCGAAAGCCUGACGGAGCGACACCGCGUGAAGGAUGAAGCCUUUUUUAGGUGUAAACUUCUGUCAUGAGGGACGAAAUUUUUGACGGUACCUCAUAAGAAAGCAUCGGCUAACCCUGUGCCAGCAGCCGCGGUAAGACAGGGGAUGCAAGCGUUACUCGGAAUUACUGGGCGUAAAGCGUCUGCAGGUGUCGCGUAAAGUCUGUCGUAAAAGCACAGGGCCCAACCCCGUGUACGUGACGGAAACUUACGCGAUUGAGUCACUCAGAGGCAUCUGGAAUGUCGUGUGUAGGGGUAAAAUCCGUAGAUCCACGAUGGAACGCCAAAAGCGAAGGCAGGAUGCUGGGAGUGUACUGACACUCAGAGACGAAAGCGUGGGGAGCAAAGGGGAUUAGAU